Molecule: long non-coding RNA, 1899 nt
Organism: Oreochromis aureus
Lineage: Eukaryota; Metazoa; Chordata; Actinopteri; Cichliformes; Cichlidae
Source: Ensembl
CCACAAAUGAGGAUAUUCAUUUAAAAUUUUGAUAGAACAGUAGCAGUAUAAUGUCCUCGUAAGUGGAUAUCAGGCCCAUGUAGAGCAAAAUUGAGUAUUUUGGUCAAAAUAACCAAAAAUGUGAUGUCCACAUAUGUGGACGGCAGGUCCUAGGAGGUUAAUGCAGAAACCAGAAAAACCUGUUUAGAGCGAACGUCUUCACGGCGACAAGAUGGGUACCGGUGUUCGUACGUCGCUCUUCAUGAUUCUUUUCCUCUGUUAUUUCGCGUUUGCGUCAACAGGAUAAAAGCAAAGCAGCAGCUACUUUGGUGUGGGAUUCCACAGCUGUGUUACAGAGAUGGAGGAAGAGUUACAGGAACUCAGGGACUUGAUCGCGCAGCUGAAAGCAGACAAUGAGAGGCUGCGUCAGGAGAGGGCUGUUGAGUCAGAUCACUUUGGACGGACCAUUAUUCUGCACUGUCGAGCUCCAAACAACAACUUCACUCUUGUACAGUGGAGCAGAGCUGGUCUGGAGCCAGAACAUGUUGCUGUUUACAAGGGUGGACAGUUCCUUCCAGAUCACCAGCAUCCAUCUUUUAAGAACCGGGUGGAUCUGCAGGACAGACAGAUGAAGGAUGGAGACGUAUCUUUGAUUCUGAAUAAUGCGACGAGUGCUGAUAGUGGAAAAUAUGAGUGUCGUGUGUUCAACAGAGGAACAGUGCGCAGGAGGAGAACCCUGUCAAGGAUUCCUCCCAUCAACACCACCUACCUGAGUGUUGUUGAUCCUCCAGGUCAAACAGGCGGAGACACAGAGGAUGGAGGAUGGAGGGAAGGAGGAUGGAGGGAAAGAGGAUGGAUCUGUUGGACUGAUAGUUGGUCUUCCAGUUGCUGUUGUUGUUGUUGCUUUUGUUGGUGUCGUGAUCUACAGAAAAUGUAAACAACAGAAGCAGGGUUCUUUCCAGCCUCCAGCUCAACAGCAGCAUGUUUGUAAUGUUUCUGUUUUUUUCCGGAUGAUCUGAGUCUGCGUCCACACGUACACGGGUAUUUUUGACUCAGAUUUUUCUUUUUCUUUUUUUUAAAAAUCCCGUCCACACAUGCGUUUUUUAAAAAUGUGAACGCCAAAAACGAAGUCAAACGCUGUCAAGAACCUGCCACGUGUUGCCACAUCCUAGCCAUGUAGAAAUGUUGGCCAAUCAGAAGUCUAGAAGCCUUCGAGCGAAAGAGUAAGCUGGGUUUCAUGCAAACUUUAAGAACUUUAAGUUUUUGUGUUUUUUCUGGGAAGGCAGCUAAUUUUGUGUUACUUUUCAAGUGCCUUCAUCAUUUCAAAUGUUAAUAACCAAAGACAAUAUUUUGGCUGGUGUAGACUUACAACUUAGCAAAGAACAAAUGCAUAAAUUUAAUUAAACAAAAAUUUAAUUUAUUCAAAACCGACGUUGGUGUCAGGAUUUGGUUGUGAGAGCGACACUGAGCAUUCAUGGUACAGUUUAGAAUAUCCUGAAAUUACAUUUUUAUAACAUCUAACAUUUUGUAUUAAGCAUCUUUGUAAACUUAGACUAAAUAUUCAUCACAAAUAUGUAUAUUUGGUGCUUAAAGAAAAUAUUUAGUGGUUUUCAUGGAAGUGAGACAGGAGCAAACUGAAAUGUCACAUGUGCUUUCACAAAUUUCUUCAAUUGUUAUUUUUAUUUUUUUGGUGCGAAGCAUCAAUAAACAGUCCAGCAGAUGUUUUCAGGUUUUAUGUUUAAACAUCCAUUUAUUGUUGUUGUUGUUGUUGUUGUUGUUGUUUAAGUUGUAUAAAAAUGAUCCAAAGUACACGUUGUGCCUUUAGCUCCUCACUGACUCCUCAACAAUCUGAACUGUAAGCCUUUAUAUUUAUGUGAAAAGAGAAAGUUGCUACUUUUGCAUGUUAUAUCAAACUACCUG